Molecule: ribosomal RNA, 253 nt
Filed under: uncultured bacterium
Lineage: Bacteria
Description: partial 16S ribosomal RNA
Rfam family: Bacterial small subunit ribosomal RNA
Source: RNAcentral
UACGGAGGGUGCAAGCGUUAUCCGGAUUCACUGGGUUUAAAGGGUGCGUAGGCGGGCAGGUAAGUCAGUGGUGAAAUCUCCGGGCUUAACCCGGAAACUGCCGUGGAUACUAUCGAUCUUGAAUACUGUGGAGGUAAGCGGAAUAUGUCAUGUAGCGGUGAAAUGCUUAGAUAUGACAUAGAACACCGAUAGCGAAGGCAGCUUGCUACACAGUUAUUGACACUGAGGCACGAAAGCGUGGGGAGCAAACAGG